Alnus glutinosa is the source of this 503-nucleotide long non-coding RNA. RefSeq lists it as uncharacterized. The transcript is spliced from 3 exons. The record is from RefSeq and is a predicted model, not a curated record. Lineage: Eukaryota; Viridiplantae; Streptophyta; Magnoliopsida; Fagales; Betulaceae.
CUCUCUCUCUCUCUCUCUCUCUCUUUCUCUCUCUUUCUCUCUCUACUGGGACGUCCCUCCGGCAGGGGUUGGCUAGGCCGUCGGUUCCCUUUCCUCCGGUCGGGUAUAUAUAUAAAGAAGGAGCCCUAAAUCCACAACCUACCGUCGACAAGGAAUAUGGACAAGUCUUGGAUGUCAGCACCUAGGGGUACGACAACGUAUAACGACGGGUGUAGGGCGUUUGUGACAUUUGCCGUUCGUAACUGUACGGCCGUCGAUGGAAAAAUUUACUGCCCAUGCAAGUAUUGUCGAAAUAACCAGCGUCACACUCCUGAUUACGUUCUUGCCCACCUGACUGGAGGUCGGGGGAUGAAUCCGGGAUACCAUUUGUGGUAUAUGCACGGUGAGACUACGACUGGAUCCGCUAUUCCUGGUCAGUGUUCGAGUUAUCACAGUGGCACAGAGGCCGCUGACCAUAGCACUGAACAUGGUGAAGUCACAGAACAGGAGGGUGUCGCCGUGGA